This 229-nucleotide ribosomal RNA is filed under the name uncultured bacterium. Its description in RNAcentral is "partial 16S ribosomal RNA". It matches the Rfam family "Bacterial small subunit ribosomal RNA", at positions 568 to 796 of the family's 1533-position model. The record is from RNAcentral.
UGCGUAGGCGGACUAAUAAGUCAGUGGUGAAAUCUUUCGGCUCAACCGAGAAACUGCCAUUGAUACUGUUAGUCUUGAGUUCGGUUGAGGUAGGCGGAAUGUGUAAUGUAGCGGUGAAAUGCUUAGAUAUUACACAGAACACCAAUUGCGUAGGCAGCUUACUAGACCGAUACUGACGCUGAGGCACGAAAGCGUGGGGAGCGAACAGGAUUAGAUACCCUGGUAGUCC